Molecule: long non-coding RNA, 101 nt
Organism: Gopherus evgoodei (Goodes thornscrub tortoise)
Lineage: Eukaryota; Metazoa; Chordata; Testudines; Testudinidae
Exons: 3
Source: RefSeq, a predicted model, not a curated record
ACAAUGGGUUCCUUCCUGGUUCCUCCUGGGGGAUUCCCCAGCAUUCCCAGGCCAGCCAGGAGAUAUAAUCCCUCCAGCAUGUCCUGGGUCAGCCUCGGGCC